AACUAUAACGGUCCUAAGGUAGCGAAAUUCCUUGUCGGGUAAGUUCCGACCUGCACGAAUGGCGUAACGACUUCCCCGCUGUCUCCAACAUCGACUCAGCGAAAUUGAAUUGCCUGUCAAGAUGCAGGCUUCCCGCGGUUAGACGGAAAGACCCCGUGCACCUUUACUACAGCUUCGCACUGGCAUCAGGAUUGUGACGUGCAGGAUAGGUGGUAGGCAUCGAAACGUGAACGCUAGUUCACGUGGAGCCUCCCUUGAGAUACCACCCUUCGCACUCUUGAUGUCUAACCGCGGUCCGUUAUCCGGAUCCGGGACCCUGCGUGGCGGGUAGUUUGACUGGGGCGGUCGCCUCCUAAAGCGUAACGGAGGCGCGCGAAGGUUGGCUCAGAGCGGUCGGAAAUCGCUCGUUGAGUGCAAUGGCAGAAGCCAGCCUGACUGCGAGACUGACAAGUCGAGCAGAGACGAAAGUCGGCCAUAGUGAUCCGGUGGUCCCGAGUGGAAGGGCCAUCGCUCAACGGAUAAAAGGUACGCCGGGGAUAACAGGCUGAUACUGCCCAAGAGUCCAUAUCGACGGCAGUGUUUGGCACCUCGAUGUCGGCUCAUCUCAUCCUGGGGCUGGAGCAGGUCCCAAGGGUACGGCUGUUCGCCGUUUAAAGAGGUACGUGAGCUGGGUUUAGAACGUCGUGAGACAGUUCGGUCCCUAUCUGCCGUGGGUGUAGGAUACUUGAGAGGAGUUGCCCCUAGUACGAGAGGACCGGGGUGAACGAACCACUGGUGGACCAGUUGUCGUGCCAACGGCAGUGCUGGGUAGCUAUGUUCGGACAGGAUAACCGCUGAAGGCAUCUAAGCGGGAAGCCCCCCUCAAAACAAGGUAUCCCUGAGGGCCGAGGUAGACCACCUCGUCAAUAGGCCAGAGAUGUAAGCGUGGUAACACGUUCAGUUGACUGGUACUAAUCGCCCGAUUGGCUUGAUCUG
This 975-nucleotide non-coding RNA is filed under the name Phaeobacter sp. CECT 5382. RNAcentral describes it as "Bacterial large subunit ribosomal RNA". It matches the Rfam family "Bacterial large subunit ribosomal RNA", at positions 1938 to 2925 of the family's 2925-position model. The record is from Rfam by way of RNAcentral. Lineage: Bacteria; Pseudomonadati; Pseudomonadota; Alphaproteobacteria; Rhodobacterales; Roseobacteraceae.